Molecule: ribosomal RNA, 733 nt
Filed under: Nomisia celerrima
Lineage: Eukaryota; Metazoa; Arthropoda; Arachnida; Araneae; Gnaphosidae
Description: partial large subunit ribosomal RNA
Rfam family: Eukaryotic large subunit ribosomal RNA (bases 372-733)
Source: RNAcentral
GUCCGACGACGGAGCCGGGCUUGGCCGGAAGAUCAGAAGGGCUUCCCCGAGCGGGGCCGUCCGGUCGUCCGAGCGACGUCGUCUGACGCACUUGUCUCUCGUCCGAAGGACGCCGCAGCCGGUGGGGCAGCGCAAGCACGACGGCCUGAAGGCGGGGAAAUGGCAGGUGGCCGGUGGUCCGUCUAGGCGGUUCGCCGGUUGUUAGCCGUCCCCGCAGUGGCCCGUCGCUCCACCGAGGUGUCACGAGGCCCCUCACGGGGCUCCUCCGCCUCCUCCGUGCAAACGGAUGCGGGACAGAAGAUCGCAGGCGAGUUGUCCGCCGUCCCGUUCCACCCUUCCGGGGUGUUCGGGCGCACGGCGCGCGCCGUUGGCGGUCUCGGACCCGUCGGAGGUUGGCGGCUGGCGGCGAGUAGGUCGGUCACCCACCCGACCCGUCUUGAAACACGGACCAAGGAGUCUAACAUGUGCGCGAGUCAAUGGGUCUUGAACAGGCCUAAAGGCGCAAUGAAAGCAAAGGUGGACUUCAGGUCCACCGAGUUGGGAUCCUCGUCUUCUUAUGCGGGGCGCACCAACGACCCGUCCCGUCCGGCUCGCCGGUGGGGCGGAGUGUGAGCGUACACGUUGGGACCCGAAAGAUGGUGAACUAUGCCCGGACAGGACGAGGCCAGAGGAAACUCUGGUGGAGGUCCGCAGCGGUCUGACGUGCAAAUCGAUCGUCAGAUCCGGGUCUAGG